This 497-nucleotide ribosomal RNA is filed under the name uncultured bacterium. RNAcentral describes it as "partial 16S ribosomal RNA". It matches the Rfam family "Bacterial small subunit ribosomal RNA", at positions 28 to 507 of the family's 1533-position model. The record is from RNAcentral.
GAUGAACGCUGGCGGCGUGCCUAAUACAUGCAAGUCGAGCGAACAGACGAGGAGCUUGCUCCUCUGACGUUAGCGGCGGACGGGUGAGUAACACGUGGAUAACCUACCUAUAAGACUGGGAUAACUUCGGGAAACCGGAGCUAUUACCGGAUAAUAUAUUGAACCGCAUGGUUCAAUAGUAAAAGACGGUUUUGCUGUCACUUAUAGAUGGAUCCGCGCCGCAUUAGCUAGUUGGUAAGGUAACGGCUUACCAAGGCAACGAUGCGUAGCCGACCUGAGAGGGUGAUCGGCCACACUGGAACUGAGACACGGUCCAGACUCCUACGGGAGGCAGCAGUAGGGAAUCUUCCGCAAUGGGCGAAAGCCUGACGGAGCAACGCCGCGUGAGUGAUGAAGGUCUUCGGAUCGUAAAACUCUGUUAUUAGGGAAGAACAAAUGUGUAAGUAACUAUGCACGUCUUGACGGUACCUAAUCAGAAAGCCACGGCUAACUACGUG